AUACGUAGGGUGCAAGCGUUAUCCGGAAUUAUUGGGCGUAAAGAGCUCGUAGGCGGUCUGUCGCGUCUGCUGUGAAAACCCGAGGCUCAACCUCGGGCCUGCAGUGGGUACGGGCAGACUAGAGUGCGGUAGGGGAGAUUGGAAUUCCUGGUGUAGCGGUGGAAUGCGCAGAUAUCAGGAGGAACACCGAUGGCGAAGGCAGAUCUCUGGGCCGUAACUGACGCUGAGGAGCGAAAGGGUGGGGAGCAAACAGGCUUAGAUACCCUGGUAGUCCACCCCGUAAACGUUGGGAACUAGUUGUGGGGACCAUUCCACGGUUUCCGUGACGCAGCUAACGCAUUAAGUGCCCCGCCUGGGGAGUACGGCCGCAAGGCUAAA
RNAcentral lists this ribosomal RNA (378 nucleotides) under uncultured bacterium. RNAcentral's name for it is "bacterial SSU rRNA". It matches the Rfam family "Bacterial small subunit ribosomal RNA", at positions 523 to 898 of the family's 1533-position model. The record is from RNAcentral.